UUCUGUUAUUGGAUUAAAAUACUGUCACUAAUUACUUACUUAUUCUGAAAUUAACAAUUAUGGCAGAACAAACUAAAUGUCAAAACCACUUCAUAUUAAUAUCACAUGUUACAGUGAGGCAAACCAACAACUUAGCAAUUUCAAAUUUAAAAACUAACAGCAUGUCAUAUAAGCGUAACAAUUCAGUAGUCCCUAGUUACAGUCCAUGUGCAUCUACCAUGUAUAUAUUACAACACAAAUGGCUAAUAUCAACUAUGUCUAAUUAACUAUUAUCUAUUUAGUGACAAACAUCAGAAGACAUCCAAACAUAUAUAAAGCUGGCAAACUCUUUUCAUUUCAACUUCAAUUUCCAUCUAGAUUGAUGGACUCAAGGGAAGAUACCUGAAAUUGAACAGAAAUAAGGAGGAAGGUCAGUAGCAGCAACAGCCAAUCACAAACAGCCCAAAAAAAGUUCAGAAGAGGUCAGAAUCAGGAGAACCAAUCGUAAACCACUUAAAACCACCCAAAUAAACUCAAAAUUGAACUCAGGCAAUCCAGAACACCUUCAGCAACAGAAACAACUAUACAACAACUCAAAUAGACCUCAUCCUGACUCCAAAGACCAAAUCAAGUAGUUUCAUAACUUCAAUUACUAAUUACUGAACUAGAAUGGCAAACUGGCAGCCAACCUCGAAUUUGAAUUGCAAAAUUCCAGUGGAACAGUACUGUUUUUCGUUUUUUUAUUUUUGUUUAAUUUGAAAACUACUGUAGAUCUAGAAAAAUUAGAAUGGCGAGAGCUUUUUGAGCUAAUAAUGUCUGGGAAAAAAAAGCUCUUAGCAAGGCUGUUUUGAUCCUUUUUAUAGGUGAAUUCAGGUCUUUGAAUUACCUCUUAGGUCCCUAUUCAAUUUCACUUUCAAUUCCUAAACUUCCUAACUGAUUUUGCAAGCUAGCACCCUCUUUAUUGAUAUUCCAUUAAGACCCUUU
RNAcentral lists this long non-coding RNA (963 nucleotides) under Nicotiana benthamiana. RNAcentral's name for it is "long non-coding RNA (NBEN_LNC037869)". The record is from RNAcentral. Lineage: Eukaryota; Viridiplantae; Streptophyta; Magnoliopsida; Solanales; Solanaceae.